UUCGUGGAAAAAAAAAAGAAAAAAGACCCCCUUACAGAUGUAAAGAUCGGUUUUUAAAUCGAUUCUCCCCCCAAAAAAAUACAAAAAGUUUUUUUUUAUUUCUUUCUAUUCUUCCUGUCACUGCUUCGGUUGCUUUGCAAGUACUUGAUGGUGGCAAGUGGCGGUGGGUAGGUGACAGAGGGCAAGUGAGCGGCGAUGUGACAAUGGCGGCUAAUCAGGGCAAGUGGGCGACAGAGGCUGCGGCGCUAGGCUAGGGUUUCAGAAAAUUGAAACCCUAGUUUGACUGGGUUUGUUGGGCUGGUUUUUGGUCUGUAUUUGGGUUGUUUGUUUGGGCCAAGUUUGGGUUGAUAUGGUUAUAAUGGGCCCUUUGUAAUUUUUUGGGUUUGCCUGGGCAAAAUUCGGCUGUACACCCUUCUUUCCACGACUUGCUAUUGUUGCAAAUUUUUGAAGACUGACACCUUUCCUUUUAAAGAUUCGAUGUGGAAUGAAGAGAUGGAGGCUUUGGGAAGCGAGGCAGAGGAACCACUCAAACCUCCUGCUUUGCUUAUCAUGUCUUUAAUGGACUCCUUAUCGUCCACUCUCCCUUCAUCCAAUGGGUAUUGUGAUGGGAUAUCAAGUGCAGUCAAUCCCUUAGCAUUUUUGCAUUGAUAUGGUCAGCACACAAGCGUUUCAGCAGUAAUUUUACCACCUGUUAAUUAGAAUAUUCAUACAAGUAACCUUUGAGUAUAUAUAUACAUAAAUAAUUUCACUUGCAAAAUUAUCAUACCUUAGGUCUGUUUCUGAUAGCAGCAACAUGUAAAACAAUGUUGCCAUCAAUGUCUGCCCAACUCAGAAGUUCUUUCUCCCAACAGUUGGCAGCUUUAUGGCGGCUCCUUAUAAGCCACCCCACCAAGACUUGGAAAGCUUCAAACCUGUCAUUUUUUCCAUGAUUUUUUACAUGUUUUUGGUUCCACUGCAUAUUAUCAUGUAAAAGAAUCUAAGUUAGACCCAAGAGCAAAGAAAGCAUUAUUCAUGGGUAUAACUGGUGGAGUAAAAGGAUACCGUCUCUGGUGUCCUGAUACAAGGAAAAUUAUUUUCAGUAGAGAUGUGACUUUUGAUGAAUCAACCAUGAUGAAGAACAAUGAUUCACAAAAGGAUAACACAACCAAUGGCACUUUGCAGCAGGUGGAGCUUGAAAAGGUUAAUGAUGAUCCAGCUAAUAUUGAAGGAACAAAUGAUGAAGAAGUUUCGACCCAAGAACUUCUACAGCAACAUGAUUCAAUUGCAUAUAGAAGGCCAAGAAGAGAGAUUUGUAUGCCUGCUCGCUUUAAUGAUAUGGUGGCCUAUGCACUUCCAAUUACAGAUGAUGAUGUUCCUUCUACUUACACAGAAGCAAGAAGUAACCCUGAUGGUGUAAAGUGAAAGCAAGCUAUGAAUGAAGAAAUGCAGUCUCUUCAUAAAAAUAGGACUUGGGAGUUGGUGACACUACCCAAAGGAAAGAAGGCAAUUGGAUGCAAAUGGGUAUAUUCAAAGAAGGAAAGAUUUCCUGAUAAAAAUGAAGUUCGAUACAAGGCUAGAUUGGUAGUAAAGGGUUACACUCAGAAAGAAGGAAUAGACUACAAUGAAGUAUUUUCUCCAGUUGUGAAGCAUUCGUCUAUUCAGAUUUUGCUAGCCUUGGUUGCGUAAUAUGAUCUUGAACUAGUUCAGCUCGAUGUGAAGACCACAUUUUUACACGGUGAUUUGGAAGAGGAAAUCUAUAUGACUCAGCCAGAUGGAUUCAAGGUUACUGAUAAAAAAAAUUGGGUUUGCAAACUGACAAAGUCACUUUAUGGAUUGAAACAAUCUCCGAGGCAGUGGUACAAGAGAUUUGAUCAGUUCAUGAAAGGGCAAAGGUGUACAAGAAGUAAAUUUGAUCAUUGCGUGUAUUUUUAGAAGCUACAAGAAGGAUUUUUCGUAUACUUGCUCUUAUAUGUUGAUGAUAUGUUGAUAGCAUCUAAAAGUAAAGUUGAAAUUGAGAGAUUGAAGACUCAACUCAACCUUGAGUUUGAGAUGAAAGAUCUAGGUGAAGCUAAGAAGAUCCUUGGCAUAGAAAUAUGUAGGGAUAGAGCUCAUGACAGAGUUAGUUUGUCUUAGAAGCAAUAUUUAAAGAAGAUACUACAGAAGUUUGGCAUGAACGAGCAGACUAAAGUUGUAAGUACCCCGUUGGCUUCUCAUUUCAAGCUUUCUACACAACUAUCUCCUUCGACAAAUAUGGAACAAGAAUACAUGUUACAAGUUCCGUAUUCUAAUAUGCAAUUGUGUGUACAAGACCCGACAUUUCACAGGCAGUUAGUAUAGUGAGCAGGUAUAUGCAUAAUCCUGGAAAAGGACAUUGGCAAGCUGUGAAAUGGAUUCUACGGUAUAUUCAUAAGACCAUGGAUAUUGGAUUACUGUUCAAGCAGGAUACUACACUUGGUAAAGGUGUUGUUGGGUACGUUGAUUCUGAUUAUGCCGGUGAUUUGGACAAACGGAGAUCAACCAUUGGUUAUGUGUUUACUCUUGCUGGAGGACCAAUAAGUUGGAAGUCUACACUGCAGUCUACAGUUGCGUUGUCAACCACAUAAGCUGAAUACAUGGCUGUAACAGAGGUUGUAAAGGAAGCUAUUUAGUUACAAGGUAUGGUUAAAACCUUGGGUUGGUUCAGGAGCAUAUUAAUGUGUAUUGUGAUAGUCAAAGUGCUAUUCAUUUAGCAAAGAAUCAAGUCUAUCAGGCACGUACAAAGCAUAUCGACGUACGUUUCCAUUUUGUGCGGGAAAUUAUUGAUAAGGGGAAAAUUCACCUUCAGAAGAUUAAGACUGCAGAUAAUCCUGCAGAUAUGAUGACCAAGGUGGUAACAACAAUCAAGUUCGAACAUUGUUUGAACUUGAUCAAUAUUCUGCAUGUUUAACAGUUGAAGAAUCCACUAUCAAGUGUUGUUGACAAAGGCAGAGAGAAUUGUGUGAAGAUAAGAUUACUCGAAUCAAAUCUUCAAGGUGGAGAUUAUUGGGAAUUAUCCAUAUUUAUGGAAAAUCAAAGAUAUGGGUAUCAAAUAAUAGAAAUUCAAAGAUAUGGGUAUCAAAUAUUGGAAAGUCAAAGAUAUGGGUAUCGAGAUAUUGGCAUAAUAAAAUUUGAGAUAUUUGCAAUAUAUGGUCUCUAAUUGUAAAGUGACUUUGCAAGUUGAUCCCUGAACCUCAACUAUAAAUAAGCAUGACCAUCUCUCAUUCUGUAUCUCAAACUUGCCAUUCUUUACUUAAGGCAUUGUUUUCUCUCUCUCUCUUUGUAAAUUCUCACUUGUAUUUUGGAGUGAAAUAUAUUUGGUAGUGGCCGAGGACGUAGACAAAAUUUGCUGAACCUCGUUAAAUUAUUGUGUUCUUUAUUGUAUUAUUCUGCAUGAAUUGUGUGUAUGAUUGUAGUGAUUUAUUGUGCCAUUAAAUUACGAUUGAGGGAUAUUCUGGCUAAGGAAGACCUGGUACUUAAGCGAUCCUUGUGAUCCACCUCUCUUUCCUGGGAAUUGAACUUAGUGUGAUUUUUUAGUACAAAAAUUUUACUCUUUUACACGCUUCCGCACAACAUCUUUAAUGAUAAAAGCUUAAAGAAUAAUCUUUAAAAUUUGGUUGUUGGUAGCUUUAUUUGGGUAGAAUUUGAGAUUUAGUUCAUAUAUUUUAAAUGUUAAAAUUUUAAUUUUUUUUACUUUUUCAAUUUAAUAUUGUAAAAUAAAACCAUAAAAAAAAUUGUGUACAAAUAGUAUUGAAUUUACAUAAAAAUAUAUAAAAAAUGCAGCAUAAAUUUGAAUAAUAAUACAUGAACACUUAAAAUGAUAAUAUAUGAAAAAAAACUUAAGAUAAUAAUAUACGAUAAAUUUAAACAAUAUUAAUAAUGAAUUUAAAAUAAUAUUAAGCAUAAAUAUUAAAAUAAGGUUAGAUUUAAAAAUAUAUAAAAAUAAUGGAAUAAUAAAUACUUAAAUAAAUUAGAAAAAUAAGCAAAUUAAAUCAAGCUAAUAAGGAUUAAAUUGGAUUUAAAACAAAAUUAGAAGGCAAAAACGUAAAUAAAAUAAAAUAAAGGACCCAAUUGAAAGGCGCGAAUAACUCAAAGGGACCAAAUGGGGAAAUAUCCCCGCCUUUUGAAAUGCAUCGUUUCACCAGGACCAAAUCAGAAACCAAAUAAAAUUUAAAGUAUCAAUUGAAGAAAAUAAAAAAAUUUUGAAUUAAAAUAAUAAAAAAUACGGAGGGGGCAAAUGCAUAAAUAUCCUUACCAAGACCAGAACAGGCAGAUCUAGGUGCCUCUGGGUCGAGUCAUCGGGUAUAGUCAAUACGGCACCGUUUUGGAGCCAUUGAAACAGACUUUAAAUGGUGCCGUUGCAUGGCCUUUAUAAAACAAAAAAAAAAAGAAAAAUAAACAAGUUUUUAGCCAUUUCGAAUCAGAUAAAAACCUUAGCCACACGCCGUUUAGAAGCCUGGCCAUUCAAAGGCCAAUCGAUCCCUGUCUGAACUUCGAUUGCGACAGAGUGAGCAAGGAUUCGACACCACCAAGUAAUUUUCUCACCUUAAAUCGUUUUUUUCUUUUUUUACACAUGAUGAGUAAACAAAUAGAUGAGUCUAGAACAGAAAAGAAAAACAACGAAAAGAAAAAAAAGGUUUCAAAUCACCUUUAGAAAAUUCUGAUUCUUUGAUUUUUCGUCCCCUUUUAUAGAUUUGUAAUUGGCUUUUUAUAGCCGAAACGAAAAAAAGAAAAUAUGUAAAAAAGAAAUCUAUUAUGUUAUCUAGCUAUUUUCAUUUGCUGGCAUAUUGUUGCUCGCUUUUUACUGUUAUUCGUUUCUGUUUCAGGUGUACGAAGGAGCGAUGACGUGGAGGUGCAACACGCGUGGAGGCCUGGUUCCCAGCUGCGGCGUGGACUGUUCCAAAAACCCUAGGGGUUUCUGGAGAUUUCAAAUUGGGCCACUUCAAAUCGGGCUAGGGUUUAAUUAAGUCUAGGAUUGUAUUGGGUCUAGGAUUGGGUUAGAUUUUGGGUUUAGGCCUCAAUCCGAAUUUGGCCUAUUGUAACUGAACUUUUGGACUUAUUAAUGGUUAUUUUGGGUAUUGGGCUAUUAGGGUUUGUUGGGUUUGGGUUUUAGAUAUUUGGGCUGAUUUGUGUUUGUUUAUUUUGGGUUGUUUGUGUAAUUCUGGACUUUUUAUUUUAUUGGACUUUUAUUUUUUGAUUUGGUUUUUUUUUUGUGUGGGCUCGAGCAGAUUGGGCCUGCUACAAUAUUGAUGUAAAACUUUGUCACUAAAGUGCAAAUUGUAACAAUAGUUAAGUAGUCUUUUGUUCGAAUAACAUUAGAAGCACAUCAAAGUCAAAGCACAUAGACUUUAAGUUCAUUGUUGUUAAAAUAAAAGUUUAGGGUGGUUAGAUGUCUAUAAAGUAUAUUGAGACAAACUCCAUGGUUGUGGAUUCGCUUAUUAAGGGACUACCACCCAAAGCUUUUUUCCUGAGCACACUGUUGAUAUGUGUGUAAUGUCAUUCAAGGAUAUUUGAUUUUAGUAGGAGUUUGUACUUUUAAACGUUUUUAUGUUAUAAAUACAUUUUCAAUUAUUUUAGUUUACAAAUAUUAAGUUUUUUUUUUUUGUAGAAAGAAAGUUUAUUUGGUAAAGUUUGAUCUCACUAAGAUUAAUGUGGACCGGUUAGAAUAUGCAUGUUUGAAUCAUAUUACAUGUAAUUUUCAUGUUACACAUCCAUACUUAAUCUAUGUCAUUUGGUUGUGCUAAUAUAUGUGAUUAAGGCUGGAUUUAGUUAUGAUAUAUGUAACAAAGUUGCAUUCUUUCUAUGUUAACAUAAUUAAUGGACAGAUUGUUCGAAAUACCUUUUAGAUACGAUAGUAAAAUUUUGAGCUCAUAAGGUUAUAUAAUGACAUGUAAUUAUAAGGUAAUCGGUAUAUAUAUAUAUGUCAUCCAAGUGGUAUAUAUGGACAUCACAUAUAUAAUAAGCAUGUUACAUGUUAUUAUUUACUAUCAUAAAAGAUUAACUCAAAUUAAAAGUGACCUAAUUUGGUUAAGAUUUAUUGGAUUUUAGUUAUUAAAUAAAAUAUAGGUCAAUAAUAUGUGUAGAUACUCUAGUAACUAAUUUCUAAUUUAUGAUGGGCGGAUUAGAAAUUAGGUUAAUGUGAAAAUGUUAUAUAUUAGGAUUUUGGUCUCCAAGUUACGCAUAUGUAACUUUUCUAAUAUCCCAUCUUGAGAAAAGAGAGAGUCACCUUCUUUAGAUUACUUGUGAGCUAAUUUGGAAGAUCAAAACCUUAAAAUUCGUAGAUUUCAAGAAAUCGGUAAAUUCAAAUACGCUUCUGCAUUUAGUUUUGUUCUUAAUUAUUUGACAUGAUAGAUUCUGAUUUAUUAAGUUUUGUAAAAGAGUUUUACGGUUUUAAUAGGAUAAUUACGAAUCCCAAAUAUAAACUGUAAAACGGACAUGAAGAAUAUAAAAGAAAUAUUACAAGAAUUUUGAAAGAGAAAAUUAAAUUGAAAAUUUUAAUGUUAUUUUUAUCUUUCAUAAUUAUUUUUAUUUAUAUUUUAUUUACAAGAACAUUUUAUUAAGAGUUUAUUAGGAUUAAGUUUAUUUUUACUUUUAUUAAAUAAAUGUUAGACUAAAAAUAAACUUUUUUUCCACUGUUGGUAUAAUGGAUAGUAGGCUAGGUUGUCCUUUUUUUAUUUGUUUAGGCACUCGUGUAUGAGAAUAAUUUAUAUUAGAAUAGUCCUAAAAGUUAAAGAUUUUAAUAUUAAUAAAUUUUUGUCACAUCAUCAAAUUUUAAAAAUAUAAAAUUAUUAUUAUACACUCGUUCAUAUUAAAUUUACUUUUUAACUUUCGUUCUUCUUAAACAUAAAUAAUUAAAAUAAAAAAUAGAAAAAUAAAAUAUUUAAAAUUUAUACAAUCCUUAAAGAUUUAAUCCAAUAUUUUUUUUUUGUUUUAAAAAAUGUAUAAUAUGAAAUAGAAAAAAAAUUAAAAUGGAAAAACUCCAUUGCCUAUAAACUAAUUUUUUUUAAAAAAAUUGGUUACAAAAAUUAAAAAUAUUAACUUCUGAAAAAAAACUAAAAAUAUUAACAUUUAUAAAAGAAGAAAAGAUGUUUAUUUAUNNNNNNNNNNNNNNNNNNNNNNNNNNNNNNNNNNNNNNNNNNNNNNNNNNNNNNNNNNNNNNNNNNNNNNNNNNNNNNNNNNNNNNNNNNNNNNNNNNNNNNNNNNNNNNNNNNNNNNNNNNNNNNNNNNNNNNNNNNNNNNNNNNNNNNNNNNNNNNNNNNNNNNNNNNNNNNNNNNNNNNNNNNNNNNNNNNNNNNNNNNNNNNNNNNNNNNNNNNNNNNNNNNNNNNNNNNNNNNNNNNNNNNNNNNNNNNNNNNNNNNNNNNNNNNNNNNNNAAAGGGAAAUUUGAAACACUUACCACCAUUCCCCUAUCAGAAAGUCUUUCCCACAUUCAACUAGAAAUCAGAGCUCACCAAAAUGUUUAUUCUUUUCAAUCUGAACCGACUCUACAAUCACUUAUUGCUCAUGGUCUUCAGCCUAUAAACCCAGAAGCAUUAUUAACUUCUAAAUCCAAAACACUAAUAUCAGCAUCCAACCCUAUAAUGAUAGUCUUAUUGACUCAUUUAAACAAGUUUCCUUUGUCAGUCUAUCAUAUUCCGUAUUUGGUAAUCGCCAAUAUGAAUUCAGACUUUAGGAUAGCUAGAAUAAGAAUAACAGCAAAGAUGCAAAGGGAAACGACUUGUAGGAGGAGGAAGAAACUUCUUUUGGGUACAAACCUGUAUAGCAUAUAAUAGGAUGUCCUGUAUAAUGUCACGAGAGCUAGAACCGUUGCAAAGCAGUAAUUAGUAAUGCUGAGUUUAGAAUAGAAAACGGAUCCAGGAGGCGAAAGAUAGAGAGGAUACUGAAGUUCGAGUGUCCGUAUGGAAACAGCAACUAAAAGCAUGUAACAGGUCCCAAACAAGGAAAGUGUUAUGAGAAUAAACAAGGACAUUGAACGGCUGGGUAGGAGAUAGGCUGUUAAAACAGUUGUUGCCCAAAAGGUUAAAGUGUUGUAUAACCAAAACAUUGUGGACACGUCUAGUAUAUUUUCUAUUUUUUUUUCUUCAGCGGGUGAAGGACUUGGUACGGGUCCAGUGCUGGUUGAACCUAAAGAUGCGUCAUACGUGAGAUGGAAAUCCUGGGAAUUUGAAAUGGUAUCAGGCUGCUUUGGAGGGUUCAAAGUGGCAGUGUAUGUGGCUGUUAUAAUUAGCACUGUGACUACUAAAAAUGUGUUACGCGUCUCAUGUGGGAUUCCCUUCUUUCCACGACUUGCUACUGUUGCAAAUUUUUUAAGAACUGACACCUUUCCUUUUAAAGAUUCGAUGGGGAUUGAAGAGAUGGAGGCUUUGGGAAGCGAGGAAGAGGAACCACGCAAACCUCCUGCUUUGCUUAUCAUAUCUUUAAUGGACUCCUUAUAGUCCACUCUCCCUUCAUCCAAUGUGUAUUGUGAUGGGAUAUCAAGUGCAGUCAAUCCCUCCGCAUUUUUGGCAUUGAUAUGGUCUCCACACAAGCGUUUCAGCAGUACUUUUACCACCUGUUAAUUAGAAUAUUCAUACAAGUAACCUUUGAGUAUAUAUAUACAUAAAUAAUUUUACUAGCAAAAUUAUCAUACCUGAGGUCUGUUUCUGAUAGCAGCAACAUGUAAAACAGUGUUGCCAUCAAUGUCUGCCCAACUCAGUAGUUCUUUCUCCCAACGGUUGGCAGCUUUAUGGCGGCUCCUUAUAAGCCACCCCACCAAGACUUGGAAAGCUUCAAACCUGU
RNAcentral lists this long non-coding RNA (8772 nucleotides) under Gossypium raimondii (Peruvian cotton). RNAcentral's name for it is "long non-coding RNA (GRAI_LNC009645)". The record is from RNAcentral. Lineage: Eukaryota; Viridiplantae; Streptophyta; Magnoliopsida; Malvales; Malvaceae.